UUGCCAAUCGGGUUCCUUGAACUAAGAUUGUUAGGGGACAGGCUUACUAAGUUGGAUUUUAAUAAAGUAUUAUGUAUCACUUCAUAUACAAUUUGAAUAUAAGUUUUCACCUUAAACGCUGGAUGAAAGCACUUACUGUUCCUCAAAUUUUUGUUUUCAGUGCAUUUUGAGUGAUAUGAAUUUAUAAAAUUUGGUGGAUUACUGUUUGAUGUAAGAGGUGCCCAGAUGGUUUUAUUUGAAUCUAACUUUGAAAACAGGUUUUUAUUUGUUUGCCAAUAUUUGUCAUAAUGCGUAAUGUUUAUAAUAAAUGUUAUUGAGUGCCCAUAAUUUAUAUUUCAUCGUAAAGCAAUUAAUAUAAGCAUUAUUUUGUAAAGUAACUUCAAAUGACGCUUGGGACAUUUAAAUGUUGUUUACGAAGCUGAUAUUACAGCAAAUUUGAUUUCCGCACUGAUUGAUCCAAAAAAGGAAAUUCGCGAAGUAUGAAGUGUUUACAUGGGGCCUAAACUAGUGACUUAAAUCAUGAAUAAAGGGCCAAUCUGAAAUACUUAUCAAUAAACAACAGGUUAAACACUCAAAAAAAUGUAAGUACAUAUUUUU
Stegodyphus dumicola is the source of this 597-nucleotide long non-coding RNA. The record is from RefSeq and is a predicted model, not a curated record. NCBI's taxonomy places the organism in Eukaryota, Metazoa, Arthropoda, Arachnida, Araneae, Eresidae.